This is a long non-coding RNA of Entelurus aequoreus (snake pipefish), 1032 nucleotides long. RefSeq lists it as uncharacterized. The transcript has 3 exons. Lineage: Eukaryota; Metazoa; Chordata; Actinopteri; Syngnathiformes; Syngnathidae. The record is from RefSeq and is a predicted model, not a curated record.
AUGCCAACACAUCCAGCUCAAUCCGUUUUUCUUCACGGACGACGAUAACAAUCGCACAACUUGUUCAUGCGGCUCAACACAACGGCUUGCAGUGCCGCAUGUUCAGGGCGCAGGUUCGGCCCAGGUUGGCGCCCUCCAGGAGAAGGUCGGAGAGGCGGUCCAGGCCGAGGCAGGUGGUGAGGGGGCUGACGAGACCGUAGAGACCCCCCAAGGUGAUGCUGAGGGGCCAGGCGAGGAAGAGCAGCAGCAGCAGCCAGAUGAUGCACCACAAAGGCGAGGCGCAGUUUGCCAUCCUGCUCUGGAAGACCCCAAGCAAAGGAGUUGAUGGGAAGAAAAGCACCAACGAUCCCAAAGAGUACCUGAGGACGGACUAGAAAAGACAUGAGUUACCUUCAGCGUCGUCGUCUUCUUCUACUUGAGGCGCUCCAAAGUCCUCCUGGUCCCUCUCGGCCGGCCCAAAGACGCCGCUCGGCUCGUCCCACGGCGUAAUUGGUGUGGAUGUGGAUGUGGAGACUGACCACUGAUCCUUUAAAACCACCUAAUAGUCACGAAGUGGAAGCAGCUUUACCCGAUGGCCUCCAAAACCAAAAACUAUAUUCCAAAUGUUGCUUUUUGAACAGAAAUGUCAGGUUGUAGACGACUACAGCGUAUUCCUACAGGCAUCAUUCAGUGACUUACUGAGGGCUGCAACCUCCCGAAUUUCAGUGCCCCUCCCGAAAAUCUCCCGGGGCAACCAUUCUCCCAAUUUCCACCCGGACAACAAUAUUGGGGGCGUGGCUUAAAGGCACUGCCUUUAGCGUCCUCUACAACGUGUCGUCACGCCCGUUUUUUCUCCAAACAAACAGCGUGCCGGUCCUGUCACAUAAUAUAUGCUGCUUUUACACACACACAAGCGAAUGCAAGGCAUACUUGAUCAACAGACAUACAGGUCACACUGAGGGCGACCGUAUAAACAACUUGAACACUGUUAGAGAUGUCGAUGCCGAUAAAUGCUUUAAAAUGUAAUAUCGGAAAUUAUCGGUAUCGUUUUUU